GAAGGCCCAGACAGCCAGGAUGUUGGCUUAGAAGCAGCCAUCAUUUAAAGAAAGCGUAAUAGCUCACUGGUCGAGUCGGCCUGCGCGGAAGAUGUAACGGGGCUAAACCAUGCACCGAAGCUGCGGCAGCGACACUAUGUGUUGUUGGGUAGGGGAGCGUUCUGUAAGCCUGUGAAGGUGUACUGUGAGGUAUGCUGGAGGUAUCAGAAGUGCGAAUGCUGACAUAAGUAACGAUAAAGCGGGUGAAAAGCCCGCUCGCCGGAAGACCAAGGGUUCCUGUCCAACGUUAAUCGGGGCAGGGUGAGUCGACCCCUAAGGCGAGGCCGAAAGGCGUAGUCGAUGGGAAACAGGUUAAUAUUCCUGUACUUGGUGUUACUGCGAAGGGGGGACGGAGAAGGCUAUGUUGGCCGGGCGACGGUUGUCCCGGUUUAAGCGUGUAGGCUGAUUUUCCAGGUAAAUCCGGAAAAUCAAGGCUGAGGCGUGAUGACGAGGCACUACGGUGCUGAAGCAACAAAUGCCCUGCUUCCAGGAAAAGCCUCUAAGCAUCAGGUAACAUCAAAUCGUACCCCAAACCGACACAGGUGGUCAGGUAGAGAAUACCAAGGCGCUUGAGAGAACUCGGGUGAAGGAACUAGGCAAAAUGGUGCCGUAACUUCGGGAGAAGGCACGCUGAUACGUAGGUGAAGUCCCUUGCGGAUGGAGCUGAAAUCAGUCGAAGAUACCAGCUGGCUGCAACUGUUUAUUAAAAACACAGCACUGUGCAAACACGAAAGUGGACGUAUACGGUGUGACGCCUGCCCGGUGCCGGAAGGUUAAUUGAUGGGGUUAGCGGUAACGCGAAGCUCUUGAUCGAAGCCCCGGUAAACGGCGGCCGUAACUAUAACGGUCCUAAGGUAGCGAAAUUCCUUGUCGGGUAAGUUCCGACCUGCACGAAUGGCGUAAUGAUGGCCAGGCUGUCUCCACCCGAGACUCAGUGAAAUUGAACUCGCUGUGAAGAUGCAGUGUACCCGCGGCAAGACGGAAAGACCCCGUGAACCUUUACUAUAGCUUGACACUGAACAUUGAGCCUUGAUGUGUAGGAUAGGUGGGAGGCUUUGAAGUGUGGACGCCAGUCUGCAUGGAGCCGACCUUGAAAUACCACCCUUUAAUGUUUGAUGUUCUAACGUUGGCCCCUAAUCGGGGUUGCGGACAGUGUCUGGUGGGUAGUUUGACUGGGGCGGUCUCCUCCUAAAGAGUAACGGAGGAGCACGAAGGUUGGCUAAUCCUGGUCGGACAUCAGGAGGUUAGUGCAAUGGCAUAAGCCAGCUUGACUGCGAGCGUGACGGCGCGAGCAGGUGCGAAAGCAGGUCAUAGUGAUCCGGUGGUUCUGAAUGGAAGGGCCAUCGCUCAACGGAUAAAAGGUACUCCGGGGAUAACAGGCUGAUACCGCCCAAGAGUUCAUAUCGACGGCGGUGUUUGGCACCUCGAUGUCGGCUCAUCACAUCCUGGGGCUGAAGUAGGUCCCAAGGGUAUGGCUGUUCGCCAUUUAAAGUGGUACGCGAGCUGGGUUUAGAACGUCGUGAGACAGUUCGGUCCCUAUCUGCCGUGGGCGCUGGAGAACUGAGGGGGGCUGCUCCUAGUACGAGAGGACCGGAGUGGACGCAUCACUGGUGUUCGGGUUGUCAUGCCAAUGGCACUGCCCGGUAGCUAAAUGCGGAAGAGAUAAGUGCUGAAAGCAUCUAAGCACGAAACUUGCCCCGAGAUGAGUUCUCCCUGACUCCCUGAGAGUCCUGAAGGAACGUUGAAGACGACGACGUUGAUAGGCCGGGUGUGUAAGCGCAGCGAUGCGUUGAGCUAACCGGUACUAAUGAACCGUGAGGCUUAACCUU
Molecule: ribosomal RNA, 1868 nt
Filed under: Escherichia coli
Lineage: Bacteria; Pseudomonadati; Pseudomonadota; Gammaproteobacteria; Enterobacterales; Enterobacteriaceae
Description: 23S ribosomal RNA
Rfam family: Bacterial large subunit ribosomal RNA
Source: RNAcentral